Python bivittatus (Burmese python) is the source of this 636-nucleotide long non-coding RNA. RefSeq lists it as uncharacterized. The record is from RefSeq and is a predicted model, not a curated record. NCBI's taxonomy places the organism in Eukaryota, Metazoa, Chordata, Lepidosauria, Squamata, Pythonidae.
UGCCCCCUGGCCUUCACAAGAAUGACAGCACUCCCCUGAUCAGGAAGACACGUCUCUCUGUCUUAUGCAAGGUUCUCUUCAGGAGAGAUACUAACUUGAGCAUGUAGCAAAAGGAGAGAUCCUACCCUCCACCCUUUCCUUCUCCAGAAGGGAGAGCUUUUAUUGUUUUGAAAAUUGCAGAUGAGAAAAGGGCAAACUUUCAGGCUCGUCUUGCCCAAGAUGCUCCAAAACUUACAAGCCAGCACCUGUUUGGAGCACGGAUGGGUUUCUCUAGUUCCUUGCUCAGAAUGUCAGAAGAGAUCAUUCAGGCUAAGAAUAGGAAAACCAUCUGGACUGAACCUAGGGAGAAACGUGGAGAAGGGAAGAAACACGCUGCCAUUAUUCUUCAAACGUCCACCAUGUCGAGAGAGUAGUCAAGAAAAGGCUUAAGACCACAAAGGAGCUAACUAAUUUCAUGGAGGGGAGCCAUGCGAAGACCUUCACUUCAUAACUGCAAGGCAAGUGAGACAUCAUUGUCCUCUGGAGCUCCACCCUAUUCAUCCAUUUCUGCAACAUCAUGGAGAUAUGUACGACGGCGUUGCAGUGGUGUGCAAUGGGUUGUGAGAAUAACCUUGAGGAACAGGAGGAAGAGCCACA